CCUACGGGUCGCAGCAGUGGGGAAUAUUGCACAAUGGGCGCGAGCCUGAUGCAGCCAUGCCGCGUGUAUGAAGAAGGCCUUCGGGUUGUAAAGUACCUUCAGCGGGGAGGAAGGCGAUAAGGUUAAUAACCUUGUCGAUUGACGUUACCCGCAGAAGAAGCACCGGCUAACUCCGUGCCAGCAGCCGCGGUAAUACGGAGGGUGCAAGCGUUAAUCGGAAUUACUGGGCGUAAAGCGCACGCGGGCGGUCUGUCAAGUCGGAUGUGAAAUCCCCGGGCUCAACCUGGGAACUGCAUUCGAAACUGGCAGGCUAGAGUCUUGUAGAGGGGGGUAGAAUUCCAGGUGUAGCGGUGAAAUGCGUAGAGAUCUGGAGGAAUACUGGUGGCGAAGGCGGCCCCCUGGACAAAGACUGACGCUCAGGUGCGAAAGCGUGGGGAGCAAACAGGAUUAGAUACCCGCGUAGUC
RNAcentral lists this ribosomal RNA (465 nucleotides) under uncultured bacterium. Its description in RNAcentral is "bacterial SSU rRNA". It matches the Rfam family "Bacterial small subunit ribosomal RNA", at positions 338 to 795 of the family's 1533-position model. The record is from RNAcentral.